RNAcentral lists this ribosomal RNA (279 nucleotides) under uncultured bacterium. RNAcentral's name for it is "partial 16S ribosomal RNA". It matches the Rfam family "Bacterial small subunit ribosomal RNA", at positions 506 to 784 of the family's 1533-position model. The record is from RNAcentral.
UGCCAGCCGCCGCGGUAAUACAGAGGGUGCAAGCGUUAAUCGGAAUUACUGGGCGUAAAGCGUGCGUAGGUGGUUGUCUAAGUCGGAUGUGAAAUCCCCGGGCUCAACCUGGGAAUUGCAUUCGAUACUGGAUGGCUAGAGUUUGGCAGAGGGAAGUGGAAUUUCCGGUGUAGCGGUGAAAUGCGUAGAUAUCGGAAGGAACAUCAGUGGCGAAAGCGACUUCCUGGACCAGAACUGACGCUCAAGUACGAAAGCGUGGGGAGCAAACAGGAUUAGAUA